GAGUAAUGUCUGGGAAACUGCCUGAUGGAGGGGGAUAACUACUGGAAACGGUGGCUAAUACCGCAUAACGUCGCAAGACCAAAGAGGGGGACCUUCGGGCCUCUUGCCAUCAGAUGUGCCCAGAUGGGAUUAGCUUGUUGGUGAGGUAACGGCUCACCAAGGCGACGAUCCCUAGCUGGUCUGAGAGGAUGACCAGCCACACUGGAACUGAGACACGGUCCAGACUCCUACGGGAGGCAGCAGUGGGGAAUAUUGCACAAUGGGCGCAAGCCUGAUGCAGCCAUGCCGCGUGUAUGAAGAAGGCCUUCGGGUUGUAAAGUACUUUCAGCGGGGAGGAAGGUGUUGUGGUUAAUAACCGCAGCAAUUGACGUUACCCGCAGAAGAAGCACCGGCUAACUCCGUGCCAGCAGCCGCGGUAAUACGGAGGGUGCAAGCGUUAAUCGGAAUUACUGGGCGUAAAGCGCACGCAGGCGGUCUGUCAAGUCGGAUGUGAAAUCCCCGGGCUCAACCUGGGAACUGCAUUCGAAACUGGCAGGCUUGAGUCUUGUAGAGGGGGGUAGAAUUCCAGGUGUAGCGGUGAAAUGCGUAGAGAUCUGGAGGAAUACCGGUGGCGAAGGCGGCCCCCUGGACAAAGACUGACGCUCAGGUGCGAAAGCGUGGGGAGCAAACAGGAUUAGAUACCCUGGUAGUCCACGCCGUAAACGAUGUCUACUUGGAGGUUGUGCCCUUGAGGCGUGGCUUCCGGAGCUAACGCGUUAAGUAGACCGCCUGGGGAGUACGGCCGCAAGGUUAAAACUCAAAUGAAUUGACGGGGGCCCGCACAAGCGGUGGAGCAUGUGGUUUAAUUCGAUGCAACGCGAAGAACCUUACCUGGUCUUGACAUCCACGGAAGAAUUCAGAGAUGGAUUUGUGCCUUCGGGAACCGUGAGACAGGUGCUGCAUGGCUGUCGUCAGCUCGUGUUGUGAAAUGUUGGGUUAAGUCCCGCAACGAGCGCAACCCUUAUCCUUUGUUGCCAGCGGUUAGGCCGGGAACUCAAAGGAGACUGCCAGUGAUAAACUGGAGGAAGGU
Molecule: ribosomal RNA, 1069 nt
Filed under: Salmonella enterica subsp. enterica serovar Meleagridis
Lineage: Bacteria; Pseudomonadati; Pseudomonadota; Gammaproteobacteria; Enterobacterales; Enterobacteriaceae
Description: bacterial SSU rRNA
Rfam family: Bacterial small subunit ribosomal RNA
Source: RNAcentral